Molecule: RNA transcript, 4660 nt
Organism: Prosopis cineraria
Lineage: Eukaryota; Viridiplantae; Streptophyta; Magnoliopsida; Fabales; Fabaceae
Exons: 2
Source: RefSeq, a predicted model, not a curated record
UUCUCCCACCCUUGCCGGUACUGUUGCACCACCUUGUUGGUGAAGAACGGCACCAUCAUGAUCUGCCUCAUCUUCUGCCUGAUAGAGCAGAUAAUCGUGUGGCCCAACCAAUAUCUAAGUCUAAGCCCAAAGUGAAGCCCAAAUUCAAACUUGGUAUCAGAGCUGCUUUGACAAUGGCGACCUCUCACUCUGUUCUGCUGGUUGGGACCUCUAGUAGUCCUUCUACAGUCGCACAAAUCAAUUCGCAAGUCCCGACAAUGACAACCAAAGUCACUCCACUUCUUAGCAACUUGAACCAAGCUGGUGCGGUCAAGCUGGAUCGUACGAAUUAUAUUCUUUGGAGUUCACAUGUCCUCUCCAUUGUUAGAGGACAUAGGCUGGAUGGUUACUUGCUUGGUUUAAAGCAAUGUCCUAAUGAGUACACGGUGAUUGAUGAACAAGUUCAAGUUAACUCAGAGUAUGAAGAUUGGAUAGCAACAGAUCAGCUGUUAUAUGAUUGGCUUCUCGGAUCCAUGAAUACUGAUGUAAGUACACACUUACUUCAUUGUAGAACUGCUGCUGAACUCUAGAUUGGAGUUCAGCAACUCAUUGGUGCACAAACAAGAUCACGUUCCUUGCAGCUUAAAGGAGAUUUGCAGUGAGCUCAAAAAGGAAGUCUAAGCAUGGAAAAGUAUAUUAAUAAGAUGAAGGUUUUAUCUGAUAAUCUAGCUUUAUCAGGAAGUCCGAUUUCUACAGCUGAGUUGAUAAUGGCAACAUUGGUAGGACUAGAUUCAAAAUAUACUCCAAUUGUUGUGCAACUUGGAGAUAAAGAAAACCUUUCUUGGCUUGAAAUGCAGACAAAACUCUUGACAAAUGAAUCACGCCUGGAACGAGUUCAUCGUUCUGCUACAAUAGAUAUAGGCAAUGCUUUUGCUAAUUUUUCUAUUCAAACUAACUCAUAUGCUCCUCAAGCUUCAAACAAGGGAUUAUCUCGUGGUGGUAAUCGUGGAAAUUGUGGAUAUCAUGGACGAGGACGAUAUAGUGGUAAAAAUAAUAAACCAGUUUGUCAAGUCUGUACUAAGUCUGGUCAUAUUGCCUUUGACUGCUUUUAUAGGUACGACAAAAAUUUUACUAAGUAAGAAACUCAACCAUCUGCUGCCUAUUUUGCUUCACCCGAAGUUGUGAAUGAUCCAGCCUAGUAUUUUGACAAUAGUGCUACUCACCAUGUCACUAAUAAUGCUCUAAGUUCGUUUUCCUCUGGUUCUGGAAAUCUUGAAGUAGGAGGUAAUCAUAAACUUCCUAUAAAGCACAUUGCUCAUGCUCAAUUUUCUAAUGAUAUAGAUGCUUGUCUCAAGUUGAAAAAUAUUCUUAUGGUACCUGAUAUACAAAAGAAUCUCAUGAGUGUUCAUAAAAUAGCAUUUGAUAAUAAUGCUUCCAUUGUUUUUGACGCUUCUGGUUGUUAUGUGUACUUGCAACAGGGAAACCUCAUGAAGGAGGUCUAUAUUGUGCUGAUCAAACACCAGUGUUUGCUAAAAAUCAAGAAAGCAAUGCACAGGUGUACAACAUUGCUCUUCAAGAUGCUCUUAAGUCAUGGCAUAGGCGACUCGGUCAUUGUUCUACUAGAACAUUAAAGAAUGUAUUAAGUCAAUAUAACAUUCUUUCCACCAUUAAUGAGAAACUUGAUUUUUGUUCUGCAUGUCAGUACGGCAAAUCGCAUGCUCUCCCCUUUUCUCUUUCUAAUUCAAGAGCCUCUAUUCCACUUGAACUAAUAUAUUUAAACUUAUGGGGACUAGCACCGAUUGUUUCUUCUCAUGGGUUCUGCUACUAUGUUAGCUUUAUAGAUGAUUUUAGUCACUACACAUGGUUAUAUCCACUAAAAGCCAAAAGUGAUGCUUUGUCUGCUUUUAUCCAUUUCAAGCAUAUGGUAGAAAAUUAGUUUAAUCUAAAAAUCAAACAAUUUCAUAGUGAUAACGGUGGUGAAUACAAACGAUUUAUUCCCAUAUUUCAUGAAGCUAGAAUAAUUCCUCAAUAUUCCUAUCCAUAUACAUCAGCUCAAAACGGUUGAGCAGAGAGAAAACAUCGUCAUGUUAUAGAAAUGGGACUAAGUCUUUUGGCUUAGGCUCACAUGCCUUUUGUGUACUGGUGGGAAGCUUUUUCUACAAGUGUACAUAUCAUCAAUAGAUUACCCACUCCAAUUUUGUCAAAUAAGUCACCAUUUGAAGUUUUAUGGAAUAAAGUACCUAAUUAUGGUAAUCUCAAAGUAUUUGGCUGUGAGUGCUAUCCAUGUCUCAAACCUUACAACCAACAUAAACUUCAGUUUCACAGUGAUCGAUGCAUUUUUCUGGGCUACAGUGGCAGUCAUAAAGGCUUUAAGUGCAUGAACUCAGCUGGUCGAGUUUAUAUUUCUCAUCAUGUUAUUUUUAAUGAAGGUGCUUUUCCUUUUUCAGGAUACUUUAUUCCACAACAUCAUGAGGCUCUGAUUGUUUAGUCUAUUGGACAGUCUUCUGAAUGGUUUGAAGUCUUUGAGUUUACUCAAUCUGAUUCAGUUAUUGACUCAUCUUCAUCUUCUUCAUUUCCUGUUAUGACUACCUCUACUUCUUCUCAGAACGGUUCUGCUUCACCACCGAUAUCAGUAUCUUCUGAUUCUGCUGUUGUUUCAGAUCAGUCUAAUCAACUUUCUACUGCUCCUGCUUCCACACACUCCAUGGUUACUCGAUCACGGAAUGAUAUUUUUAAACCUAAGCAUCCAUUUGUGGGAAUAGUUAUUGGACCCGAUAAUAUUGAACCUCGUUCAGUCUCAAAAGCUCUUCAACGUACUUGUUGGAAACAAGCUAUGCAGUGUGAAUAUGAUGCUUUAAUUCGCAACAAGACUUGGGUCUUAGUUCCUUAUCAGCCUCAUUAUAAUUUGAUUGGUUGUAAAUGGGUUUGGCGCAGUAAGUACAAUCCUGAUGGUUCAGUGCUCACUCAUAAGGCUCGUUUAGUUGCAAAAGGCUUUCAUCAAGAGCCUGGACUCGACUUUAGGGAAACAUUUAGUCCUGUCAUCAAACCUUCAACCAUUCAUGUUGUCUUAACUCUGGCUACGUUGUUUAACUAGCCUAUACAUCAAAUGGACAUUAAUAAUGCAUGUCUAAAUGGAGUGCUUCAUGAAACUGUUUAUAUGGUGCAGCCCGAAGGUUUUGUGGAUCCUUCAAAUCCUACUCAUGUUUGUAAACUUGAAAAAGCUCUCUAUGGUCUUAAACAGGCUCCUCGUGCCUGGUAUGAUCAGCUUAAAGGCACCUUGCUUGACUGGGGAUUUAACCGAAGUUAUAGUGAUUCAUCUCUAUUUAUUUUCACCUCUCAAACUCAGAUACUUUUAGUAUUAGUUUAUGUUGAUGAUAUAUUGAUUACGGGUAAUGAUGCUUUGAGUAUUUCUAUGUUUACUGCCAAGUUGCACUCCUAUUAUGCAUUAAAAGAUAUGGGUCCUAUUCACUAUUUCCUGGGGUUUGAAGUUUUUCGUGAUUCUACUGGAUUCUAUCUAACUCAAUGUAAAUAUACAUCUGAUUUACUACAACGUUUUGAUAUGCUUGACUCUAAGCCUUGUCCUACGCCUAUGUGUUUGACUUCCUCACUUUCAGCUUAUAAUGGUUCUGUUUUUGCCACUCCAACUACGUAUCAUUAGGCUAUUAGUGCUUUACAGUAUCUCUACUAUUCACGACCUGAUAUCAGCUUUGCUAUCAACAAGUUAAGUCAGUUCAUGCAAACUCCUCUGGAUAUUCACUGGCAAGCCCUUAAGCAUCUCUUUCGAUAUCUUAAAGGUACCUCUGGUCUUGGAGUUCACUUGAAGAAGGCUUCCCCUUUAACUUUAACUGCUUUUUCAGAUGUUGACUGGGCUUCUAGUGUUGAUGAUCGUCACUCUAUUGGUGGUUAUCUGGUAUAUUUUGGUGAUUCUCUUAUUUCUUGGUCUUCCAAAAAGCAACAUGUUGUGGUUCGCUUGAGUACUGAAUCUGAGUAUCGUUCUCUUGCCAACACAUCUGCUGAGAUCCUUUGGCUUCAUUCUUCAUUAUCUGAGAUUAACUUUCCUUGUCAUCUGCCAUUGGUUAUCUGGUGUGAUAACACCAGUGCCACUUCCUUGGCUUCUAACCCAGUGUUUCAUACUUGCACAAAGCAUAUCGAGAUUGAUGCUCACUUUUUACGAGAUCAUGUUCUCAAUGGUCAUGUUUCCAUACAUUAUGUUCCCUUUGAAGACCAGCUUACUGACUGUUUAACUAAACCGCUGGGCUCUACUCGAUUUAUCUCUUUGCGUAACAAACUCGGCUUGGCCAUACCACCCACUCGUUUGAGGGGGGAUGAUAGAGCAGAUAAUCGUGUGGCCCAACCAAUAUCUAAGUCUUAGCCCAAAGUGAAGUCCAAGUCUGAUUCAGUUACGAAUGCUAUAGCCGAUUCUCCAAGCACGUGAUUUCUGUUAAUUAGUUAUACCUGAUUAUUGUUAUUAUUUUAUUUUAGUUUAUUCUAUUUUUGCCUAUAUAUAUGUAUCAGAGUCUCUCUUCUGGGUAUUGAAUAAAGAAAGAAAUAUUCAGCUUAUAUUUUUGGUUCUUCUCUUUGUUUAAACUCCGCCAGUGCUCGCCGUACAUGAUGAACACCAUGUCCUGACCUUUGCUGGUGAAUAUGUCGAAUACUACAUUUCGAGUUCAGGACCCGAACU